RNAcentral lists this long non-coding RNA (542 nucleotides) under Homo sapiens (human). Its description in RNAcentral is "PLCE1 antisense RNA 2". The record is from RNAcentral. Lineage: Eukaryota; Metazoa; Chordata; Mammalia; Primates; Hominidae.
GUCAGUCCUCCUAGCAGCCUGAUUAGUAGAAGUUGUUACAGAAACACAGAUGAAACCAUGGGUUAGAAAGAGGUUGAGUGCUAGAGAAUCUUAUGGCUGCAAAAUGAGUAAGCAGAGACUUCAACCACUGUCUUCUGACUCACAGCCCAAGGGAAAGACCAGGCAAGAGUAGGGGUGAAGAAAUCUCAUGUAGAAGCCCAGAACUUUCAAGAGAUAAGAAGUAGAGAGAUUCUGGUUUAAAGAGAGAUGACAGAAGCCCUGAAUGUCCUCUCUUCUGCUCCCCCAGAUACCUUCAUGGACUACAGGGCUGUACAUACGACUGUUGAAGUUUAUAACUAAAAAUAAACCAAUAGGAAAGCUAGCCAUGCCAUAGUGGCUACAUGCAUGGGAUGUGAAGCCACACUUCCUGAGUUUGAAUCCCAGCUCUGCCUCAUCUUAAAAGUGUGAUCAUAGAGAGUGUGCCAACAUCAUUCUAAAUGAUUGGGAUACAUGAGUGGGAGUGAGUGAAGUGGACAAUGGCAGCAUUUUAGAAAAGGAUUAAG